UAAGCUCAAGUAAUUACUAUUAAUAUAGAUAUCAUUACAAAAUUUCUAUAUAUAUAUAUAUAUAUAUAUGAAUGGCUUCUCUUGUUCUUCUUGUGUCUCAAUUUCUUAAACACCCAAAUGCAGAUUUGGACUACUCAACGACGUCGUCUUCAAUGUCAGCCAAAAAUGCCGCCGGUGCUCCUUGCUUCACCAAGAAACAGCUACCGGCAACAACUCCGGGCGAUAGGAAAGAGGAUUUUGAAGAAGAUUUAUAUGUGUCGAGCGUUUGUGUUGACCUUUUUUGGCUUUAAUUAAUUAAUUAGAAAUAUGCAUGUAUAUUAUUAUUAUUAUUAUUGUUUUAAUAUAUUUGUUGUUGAUCAACAAACAAUAUUAUAAAGUUAGUUUUUGUUAUUUUUGUGUUUACAUUUCUUGUUAGUUUUUUACGUUUAAAAGUUGGGUGCUGAUAUUAUUUG
This 452-nucleotide long non-coding RNA is filed under the name Panax ginseng (ginseng). RNAcentral describes it as "long non-coding RNA (PGIN_LNC009859)". Lineage: Eukaryota; Viridiplantae; Streptophyta; Magnoliopsida; Apiales; Araliaceae. The record is from RNAcentral.